AGCAGCCGCGGUAAUUCCAGCUCCAAUAGCGUAUAUUAAAGUUGUUGCAGUUAAAAAAGCUCGUAGUUGAAUUUCGGGAUCAAUAUGUCUGUCGUGCCUUCGGUACGUACGGGUAUAAUUGGUUUCUACCUUCUGAUGAACCUUGAUGCCAUUAAUUUGGUGUCUUGGGGACUCAGGACUGUUACCUUGAAAAAAUUAGAGUGUUUAAAGCAGGCAUACGCUUGAAUACAUUAGCAUGGAAUAAUGAAAUAGGACGUUCGAUUCUAUUUUGUUGGUUUCUAGGAUCGACGUAAUGAUUAAUAGGGAUAGUUGGGGGCAUUAGUAUUCAAUUGUCAGAGGUGAAAUUCUUGGAUUUAUUGAAGACUAACUACUGCGAAAGCAUUUGCCAAGGAUGUUUUCAUUAAUCAAGAACGAAAGUUAGGGGAUCGAAGACGAUCAGAUACCGUCGUAGUCUUAACCAUAAACUAUGCCGACUAGGGAUCGGAUGAUGUAAUUUUUAAUGACUCAUUCGGCGCCUUAA
This 520-nucleotide ribosomal RNA is filed under the name uncultured Glomus. RNAcentral's name for it is "SSU rRNA". It matches the Rfam family "Eukaryotic small subunit ribosomal RNA", at positions 569 to 1091 of the family's 1831-position model. The record is from RNAcentral. Lineage: Eukaryota; Fungi; Glomeromycota; Glomeromycetes; Glomerales; Glomeraceae.